RNAcentral lists this ribosomal RNA (393 nucleotides) under uncultured bacterium. RNAcentral describes it as "partial 16S ribosomal RNA". It matches the Rfam family "Bacterial small subunit ribosomal RNA", at positions 523 to 918 of the family's 1533-position model. The record is from RNAcentral.
AUACGGAGGAUCCAAGCGUUAUCCGGAUUUAUUGGGUUUAAAGGGUGCGUAGGCGGACUGGUAAGUCAGCUGUGAAAGUUUGCGGCUUAACCGUAAAAUUGCAGUUGAUACUGUCAGCCUUGAGUGUGCAUGAGGUGGGCGGAAUUUGUGGUGUAGCGGUGAAAUGCUUAGAUAUCACGAGGAACUCCAAUUGCGAAGGCAGCUCACUGGGGCAUAACUGACGCUGAUGCACGAAGGUGUGGGUAUCAAACAGGAUUAGAUACCCUGGUAGUCCACACAGUAAACUAUGAAUACUCGCUGUUUGCGAUAUACAGUAAGCGGCCAAGCGAAAGCAUUAAGUAUUCCACCUGGGGAGUACGCCGGCAACGGUGAAACUCAAAGGAAUUGACGGGG